UACGUAGGGGGCGAGCGUUGUCCGGAUUUAUUGGGCGUAAAGAGCGCGUAGGUGGUUUGUAAAGUCGGAUGUGAAAGUCCAGGGCUUAACCCUGGGAUGCCAUUCGAUACUUGCAGACUAGAGCAUGGUAGGGGGAUCUGGAAUUCCUGGUGUAGCGGUGAAAUGCGCAGAUAUCAGGAGGAACACCGGUGGCGAAGGCGGCUAUCUGGACAGAGUCUGACGCUGAUGCGCGAAAGCUAGGGGAGCAAACAGG
RNAcentral lists this ribosomal RNA (253 nucleotides) under uncultured bacterium. Its description in RNAcentral is "partial 16S ribosomal RNA". It matches the Rfam family "Bacterial small subunit ribosomal RNA", at positions 524 to 776 of the family's 1533-position model. The record is from RNAcentral.